This is a long non-coding RNA of Drosophila nasuta, 572 nucleotides long. RefSeq lists it as uncharacterized. The transcript has 3 exons. The record is from RefSeq and is a predicted model, not a curated record. Lineage: Eukaryota; Metazoa; Arthropoda; Insecta; Diptera; Drosophilidae.
UUAAGCGAGCUGGCUGCUCUGUGGGUGUAGAAGCAAGCGUAAACGACUUCACACUGACAGGUUGAUUCAACGUCGUCGUCGUAGUCGUUCAUAAGAAUUUUAAGCAUUUUUUGUAUACAUUACACCCACGACGAGACUGCGAGAGACUUUUCAAUAUGUACAAAAAUGGUAGAAGAAUUUUUUCAAAAUGGAAUUUUCACAAAAUUUAAAAAUACAUUAAUCUCCAAAUAUCGAAACAAAAAUGAAAUUUCAUGUGGCCACACUCGCUUGGGGGCACAUGCAAAUUGUUUAAACAACCAUAUUGUAUUAUUAUUAUCGGGACUACGUCAGCUUUUGUUGUUCAAUAACAAACAUACAUUUAUCUGUCGCAACAAAUCUCGCAACUUAAAACACGAGGUAUACGAAAAUAAAAAAAUGAUAAUGACAUUGAUUUUCAGAACGGAUAUACAUAAGUUAAAACAAAAACACAAAAGACUUGUAAUUUCAAUGUCAAACUGGUUUUCACUUUUAACGUGUCCUUUAACGUGUUCCUUUUUUGUCUGCCAAAAAAUUUGCAAUCAGAGAAACCUGUA